Molecule: ribosomal RNA, 611 nt
Filed under: uncultured Cyanidium sp.
Lineage: Eukaryota; Rhodophyta; Bangiophyceae; Cyanidiales; Cyanidiaceae
Description: SSU rRNA
Rfam family: Bacterial small subunit ribosomal RNA
Source: RNAcentral
UGUGAACGGCUGCUAAAACCCCAUAUGCCGAGAGGUGAAAAAGAUUUCUGCCUAAGGAAGAGCUCGCGGCUGAUUAGCUAGUUGGUAGGAUAAAAGACUACCAAGGCAACGAUCAGUAGCUGGUUUGAGAGGACGAUCAGCCACACUGGGACUGAGACACGGCCCAGACUCCUACGGGAGGCAGCAGUGGGGAAUCUUCUGCAAUGGGCGAAAGCCUGACAGAGCAAUACCGCGUGAGGGAUAAAAGCCUGAGGGUCGUAAACCUCUUUUUUCAGGGAAGAAAUUUGACGGUACCUGAAGAAUAAGCAUCGGCUAACUCCGUGCCAGCAGCCGCGGUAAUACGGAGGAUGCAAGCGUUAUCCGGAAUCACUGGGCGUAAAGCGUCUGUAGGUGGCUUUUCAAGUCUGCUGUUAAAGACUGAGGCUUAACCUCAGAAAAGCAGUGGAAACUGACAAGCUAGAGCAUGGUAGGGGUAAAGGGAAUUCCCAGUGUAGCGGUGAAAUGCGUAGAUAUUGGGAAGAACACCUGUGGCGAAAGCGCUUUACUGGACCAUUGCUGACACUGAGAGACGAAAGCUAGGGUAGCAAAUGGGAUUAGAUACCCCAGUAGUC